UCAUUAUCUCCUGUUAUGUUGCGGUAUUGUCUGCUCUGUCUUGUCGUGUUUGGAUUUUGGACUUUUGCCUGUUUUCUGGAUUGCAUUUUGGAUACCUUGUUUGUGGACUUUGUUUUAUCAGCCACUCCACCAAGUUCCAUCUGAACAUUUAAAGAAAAAUGCAUGUCGGUGAAGCGAAGACCUCAAGAUGCAUCAAGUACGUUGUGCAAGGUACAGAAUUUUGACUGGGAGGAAGCUCAGCCUCUCACUUAGCUGGAAUGGAUAAUUUAAAGCCUUGACAAGCUUUGAAGGCAGUCAAACCAAGCUACAGCCUCCACUGAAGUACCCUCAUUAUUCAUUUGACCUGUGAUAAGAAGAAAAUGGAAAAAUGCCUCUAAAAUUGAGAUUUGUCGCAUACAACUGUCAUAAGACAUGUGCAGUAGUACCCUGAAUUAAAUAUUUAUGAGAAGACAUGCACCA
Micropterus salmoides (largemouth bass) is the source of this 459-nucleotide long non-coding RNA. RefSeq lists it as uncharacterized. The record is from RefSeq and is a predicted model, not a curated record. NCBI's taxonomy places the organism in Eukaryota, Metazoa, Chordata, Actinopteri, Centrarchiformes, Centrarchidae. The transcript is spliced from 3 exons.